This 253-nucleotide ribosomal RNA is filed under the name uncultured bacterium. RNAcentral's name for it is "partial 16S ribosomal RNA". It matches the Rfam family "Bacterial small subunit ribosomal RNA", at positions 524 to 776 of the family's 1533-position model. The record is from RNAcentral.
UACGUAGGGGGCGAGCGUUGUCCGGAUUCAUUGGGCGUAAAGCGCGCGUAGGCGGCUUCGCAAGUCGGCCGUGAAAUCUCCGGGCUCAGCUCGGAGGGGUCGGGCGAGACUGCGAGGCUCGAGGUGGGCAGAGGGCAGUGGAAUUCCGGGUGUAGUGGUGGAAUGCGUAGAGAUCCGGAGGAACACCAGCGGCGAAGGCGGCAUCCUGGACUGGUCCUGACACUCAUGAGCGAAAGCGUGGGGAGCGAUCCGG